AGGACGAACGCUGGCGGCGUGCUUAACACAUGCAAGUCACGGGGGGCUCGCAAGAGCUAACCGGCGAACGGGUGCGUAACACGUGACCAACCUGCCCUCGUGUGGGGGAUAGCCGGGCUAACGCCCGGGUAAUACCGCAUACGUUCCUCUGGGGGAGUCCCCGGGGGAGGAAAGCUCCGGCGCACGGGGGAGGGGGUCGCGGCCUAUCAGCUAGGUUGGGGGGGUAACGCCUCCCAAGGCGACGACGGGUAGCU
Molecule: ribosomal RNA, 254 nt
Filed under: uncultured bacterium
Lineage: Bacteria
Description: partial small subunit ribosomal RNA
Rfam family: Bacterial small subunit ribosomal RNA
Source: RNAcentral